Molecule: non-coding RNA, 82 nt
Organism: Echinostoma caproni
Lineage: Eukaryota; Metazoa; Platyhelminthes; Trematoda; Plagiorchiida; Echinostomatidae
Source: Rfam
GGCCUCGUGGCUCAGCUGAUAGAGCGUGCACGUACAAAGCGUAGGCGGUGUCCAUGCGUGGGUUCGAAUCCCAGCGAGGCUA